GAUGAACGCUGGCGGCGUGCCUAAUACAUGCAAGUCGAGCGAACGGACGAGAAGCUUGCUUCUCUGAUGUUAGCGGCGGACGGGUGAGUAACACGUGGAUAACCUACCUAUAAGACUGGGAUAACUUCGGGAAACCGGAGCUAAUACCGGAUAAUAUUUUGAACCGCAUGGUUCAAAAGUGAAAGACGGUCUUGCUGUCACUUAUAGAUGGAUCCGCGCUGCAUUAGCUAGUUGGUAAGGUAACGGCUUACCAAGGCAACGAUGCAUAGCCGACCUGAGAGGGUGAUCGGCCACACUGGAACUGAGACACGGUCCAGACUCCUACGGGAGGCAGCAGUAGGGAAUCUUCCGCAAUGGGCGAAAGCCUGACGGAGCAACGCCGCGUGAGUGAUGAAGGUCUUCGGAUCGUAAAACUCUGUUAUUAGGGAAGAACAUAUGUGUAAGUAACUGUGCACAUCUUGACGGUACCUAAUCAGAAAGCCACGGCUAACUACGUGCCAGCAGCCGCGGUAAUACGUAGGUGGCAAGCGUUAUCCGGAAUUAUUGGGCGUAAAGCGCGCGUAGGCGGUUUUUUAAGUCUGAUGUGAAAGCCCGCGGCUCAACCGUGGAGGGUCAUUGGAAACUGGAAAACUUGAGUGCAGAAGAGGAAAGUGGAAUUCCAUGUGUAGCGGUGAAAUGCGCAGAGAUAUGGAGGAACACCAGUGGCGUAGGCGACUUUCUGGUCUGUAACUGACGCUGAUGUGCGAAAGCGUGGGGAUCAAACAGGAUUAGAUACCCUGGUAGUCCACGCCGUAAACGAUGAGUGCUAAGUGUUAGGGGGUUUCCGCCCCUUAGUGCUGCAGCUAACGCAUUAAGCACUCCGCCUGGGGAGUACGACCGCAAGGUUGAAACUCAAAGGAAUUGACGGGGACCCGCACAAGCGGUGGAGCAUGUGGUUUAAUUCGAAGCAACGCGAAGAACCUUACCAAAUCUUGACAUCCUUUGACAACUCUAGAGAUAGAGCUUUCCCCUUCGGGGGACAAAGUGACAGGUGGUGCAUGGUUGUCGUCAGCUCGUGUCGUGAGAUGUUGGGUUAAGUCCCGCAACGAGCGCAACCCUUAAGCUUAGUUGCCAUCAUUAAGUUGGGCACUCUAAGUUGACUGCCGGUGACAAACCGGAGGAAGGUGGGGAUGACGUCAAAUCAUCAUGCCCCUUAUGAUUUGGGCUACACACGUGCUACAAUGGACAAUACAAAGGGCAGCGAAACCGUGAGGUCAAGCAAAUCCCAUAAAGUUGUUCUCAGUUCGGAUUGUAGUCUGCAACUCGACUACAUGAAGCUGGAAUCGCUAGUAAUCGUAGAUCAGCAUGCUACGGUGAAUACGUUCCCGGGUCU
This 1372-nucleotide ribosomal RNA is filed under the name uncultured bacterium. RNAcentral's name for it is "bacterial SSU rRNA". It matches the Rfam family "Bacterial small subunit ribosomal RNA", at positions 28 to 1381 of the family's 1533-position model. The record is from RNAcentral.